This 236-nucleotide ribosomal RNA is filed under the name Stenotrophomonas pavanii. RNAcentral describes it as "partial 16S ribosomal RNA". It matches the Rfam family "Bacterial small subunit ribosomal RNA", at positions 509 to 744 of the family's 1533-position model. Lineage: Bacteria; Pseudomonadati; Pseudomonadota; Gammaproteobacteria; Lysobacterales; Lysobacteraceae. The record is from RNAcentral.
CAGCAGCCGCGGUAAUACGAAGGGUGCAAGCGUUAUUCGGAAUUACUGGGCGUAAAGCGUGCGUAGGUGGUCGUUUAAGUCCGUUGUGAAAGCCCUGGGCUCAACCUGGGAACUGCAGUGGAUACUGGACGACUAGAGUGUGGUAGAGGGUAGCGGAAUUCCUGGUGUAGCAGUGAAAUGCGUAGAGAUCAGGAGGAACAUCCAUGGCGAAGGCAGCUACCUGGACCAACACUGAC